Small nucleolar RNA from Andrographis paniculata, 80 nucleotides. The record is from RefSeq and is a predicted model, not a curated record. NCBI's taxonomy places the organism in Eukaryota, Viridiplantae, Streptophyta, Magnoliopsida, Lamiales, Acanthaceae.
UCUCUGUGAUGAUGAAUCAAAGAUGACGAAUCAGGUCAUUAUCAAUUCUAUUGACAAUCCGAGGCAUUUGUCCGAGAUGA